RNAcentral lists this small RNA (108 nucleotides) under Arabidopsis thaliana (thale cress). RNAcentral's name for it is "ATSL135450". Lineage: Eukaryota; Viridiplantae; Streptophyta; Magnoliopsida; Brassicales; Brassicaceae. The record is from RNAcentral.
CUGGAUGAACCGUGGUAGAGAGACGAGUUGGACAAACCGAGUUGUUUGCUGAAGGUCUAGACGAGCUGGACGACGAGAUAGGUGGACUAUGCAGUCAAUGGACGAACU